GGUUGCGGCUCUGACCACUUCCUCCUCAGAGGUCAUGGAGCAAAGGGCACCUGCAGUGUGUGUGCGUGGGUGGUGGUUGUGGGGGGAGUUGGGAGGGUGACAUAAGAAUUUUCUCUUCCAAAAGAGGGGUGGGGAGCAUAGGGCUGGGGUGGGGUAUCCGGACUAUACUCUGCAAGAGGGAUGACAGCUUCCUGAGUCAACGGAAACUUGGGAGCAAGAAAGCUGCAGUGGAGGCUGCCGGCAGUACAGGAUGCAGGGAGAACCCAGGCCUGGGGUUGAGGCUGGGAGACGCAAUUCCAGCUUUACUGUGUGAGUUUAGCAGGACUGUCACGGGUAGAAACUGCUGGUGUGUCAUCUACAGCCUUGGAGGACAGAAUUGUGGUUAGGCACGAGGAGGUUCCAGAAGUUUCAGUUCAGUAUGAAGAAAACUUUCAGAACCAUCACAAACAGAUGAGGAAACUGAGGCAUGGAGAAGCCAGGCCACUCUUAAUUCACUUAAUGGAUCUUCCAUGCAUGUAGUCACGAUUGAACCAGCAUCCAACCCAGAGCCCAGUGUGGUCGACCCACAAAUGUUUGCCAAGUUAGCCAGGCCCUUGGUGUCUACUGGUUGAUUUCAGAAUUACCCAUGCCCGCACCAGCCUCUUCCAUAUCAUUCACUUCUGUCACCUGGCUUGCUACAUGGACGUGCUCAUGAAGGGCUGCUGAAUGACUGACCCACCGAGUACCUGUCACCUGAGGCCCAGCUUUGGCAGCUGU
Long non-coding RNA from Mandrillus leucophaeus (drill), 756 nucleotides. RefSeq lists it as uncharacterized. Lineage: Eukaryota; Metazoa; Chordata; Mammalia; Primates; Cercopithecidae. The transcript is spliced from 4 exons. The record is from RefSeq and is a predicted model, not a curated record.